Oreochromis aureus is the source of this 623-nucleotide non-coding RNA. The record is from the annotation of a RefSeq genome assembly. NCBI's taxonomy places the organism in Eukaryota, Metazoa, Chordata, Actinopteri, Cichliformes, Cichlidae.
UCUUUCCAAAUAUGUUUUUCUCUAUUGCAUGAAAUUAUUAAUGGUAUUAACUCAAACAAUUUUGAUUCUGUGCCCCACAUUGCCCUCAGUGUGUUGAGAGCAGAGAAAUCAUUUCCAUAGAGGAGGCUUUGCAUCAUCAGCUGAUCCUCCAGAGAACUGAGAAGGUUUAUAGUCCUGUGAGUUCAACACUGCAGGACUCACAUCUGUCAGUCAACACAGCAGAAAGCACAACCACCAUGACUCUCAUCACCAUCCUCAUCUGGACGCUGACCUGCUGCUGUUUUACAGGAUGCAGCGGUCAGGUGACUGUGACUCAACCUCCAGUACUGACAUCUACUCCUGGAUCCACUGUCACUCUGACCUGUAGGACCAGCCGAGCUGUUUUCAGAUAUGAUGAUGGUGAUGAUGCUAUGUACUGGUAUCAACAGAAAUCUGGACAGGCUCCAAAGCUCCUGAUAAAAUAUGCAACAACGCUUGAGUCAGGAACACCAUCUCGAUUUAGUGGCAGUGGAAGCAGCUCUGACUUCUCUAUGACCAUCAGUGGAGUUCAGGCUGAAGAUGCAGCAGUUUACUACUGUAAGAGUUACCAUGAAAUAAACAGUGCUGCAGUGUUCACACAGUGA